Molecule: ribosomal RNA, 392 nt
Filed under: uncultured bacterium
Lineage: Bacteria
Description: partial 16S ribosomal RNA
Rfam family: Bacterial small subunit ribosomal RNA
Source: RNAcentral
AUACGUAGGGGGCGAGCGUUGUCCGGAAUGAUUGGGCGUAAAGGGCGCGUAGGCGGCCCGGUAAGUCUGGAGUGAAAGUCCUGUUUUUAAGAUGGGAAUUGCUUUGGAUACUGUCGGGCUUGAGUGCAGGAGAGGUAAGUGGAAUUCCCAGUGUAGCGGUGAAAUGCGUAGAGAUUGGAGGAACACCAGUGGCGAAGGCGACUUACUGGACUGUAACUGACGCUGAGGCGCGAAAGUGUGGGGAGCAAACAGGAUUAGAUACCCUGGUAGUCCACGCAGUAAACGAUGAUGGCUAACCGCUGGUUUUUUCGGAUCAGUGGCCAAGCGAAAGCGAUAAGCCAUCCACCUGGGGAGUACGAUCGCAAGAUUGAAACUUAAAGGAAUUGACGGGG